GAUGAACGCUGGCGGCGUGCCUAAUACAUGCAAGUCGAGCGAACGGACGAGAAGCUUGCUUCUCUGAUGUUAGCGGCGGACGGGUGAGUAACACGUGGAUAACCUACCUAUAAGACUGGGAUAACUUCGGGAAACCUGAGCUAAUACCGGAUAAUAUUUUGAACCGCAUGGUUCAAAAGUGAAAGACGGUCUUGCUGUCACUUAUAGAUGGAUCCGCGCUGCAUUAGCUAGUUGGUAAGGUAACGGCUUACCAAGGCAACGAUGCAUAGCCGACCUGAGAGGGUGAUCGGUCACACUGGAACUGAGACACGGUCCAGACUCCUACGGGAGGCAGCAGUAGGGAAUCUUCCGCAAUGGGCGAAAGCCUGACGGAGCAACGCCGCGUGAGUGAUGAAGGUCUUCGGAUCGUAAAACUCUGUUAUUAGGGAAGAACAUAUGUGUAAGUAACUGUGCACAUCUUGACGGUACCUAAUCAGAAAGCCACGGCUAACUACGUG
RNAcentral lists this ribosomal RNA (497 nucleotides) under uncultured bacterium. Its description in RNAcentral is "partial 16S ribosomal RNA". It matches the Rfam family "Bacterial small subunit ribosomal RNA", at positions 28 to 507 of the family's 1533-position model. The record is from RNAcentral.